UUUUUCUCUCUCUCUUCCUUCCUUCCUUCCUUCCUUCUUUCCUUUCUUCUUUUCUUUUCUUCUCUCCCUCCCUUCCCCUCUCUCUUCCCUUCCCUUCCUUCUCUCUCCCCUUCCCUUCCCUCUCUCUCCCCUUCCCUCUCCCUCUCCCUCUCCCUUCCCUUCCCUUUCUUUCUUGACAGGGUCUCACUCCAUCACCCAGGCUGGAAUGCAGUGGCUCAAUCAACACACCACAGCCUCGGCCUCCCUGGGCUCAGAAGUCUAGGAAUCCUCUUGGCACUUGACCUUGGGCCUCUGAGAUCCCAGCUAUGACCAGUUCCAGAAACGCAAUCCUGGCCGGGCACGGUGGCUCACGCCUGUAAUCCCAGCA
RNAcentral lists this long non-coding RNA (367 nucleotides) under Homo sapiens (human). RNAcentral describes it as "HSALNT0405487". Lineage: Eukaryota; Metazoa; Chordata; Mammalia; Primates; Hominidae. The record is from RNAcentral.